CCUCAAAUAAUGUGUGACUACCCC
RNAcentral lists this ribosomal RNA (24 nucleotides) under Aedes vexans. RNAcentral's name for it is "partial 28S ribosomal RNA". The record is from RNAcentral. Lineage: Eukaryota; Metazoa; Arthropoda; Insecta; Diptera; Culicidae.